CAAUAGCGUAUAUUAAAGUUGUUGCAGUUAAAAAGCUCGUAGUUGAAUUUCUGGCGGGCGCGCCGGUCUUCCAAGUGUUGUACUGGGCGCAGUCCGCCAUCCUUGUGGAGAGGGCUCGCAUUGAGUUGCGUGUCGGAUCUGCAUCAUUUACUGUGAAAAAAUUAGAGUGUUUAAAGCAGGCUGUCGCUUGAAUACAUUAGCAUGGAAUAAUAAGAUAGGACUUCGGUCUAUUUUGUUGGUUGCGAACCGAGGUAAUGAUUAAUAGGGAUAGUUGGGGGUAUUCAUAUUUAAUUGUCAGGGGUGAAAUUCUUGGAUUUAUGAAAGAUGAACAACUGCGAAAGCAUUUACCAAGGAUGUUUUCAUUAA
This 366-nucleotide ribosomal RNA is filed under the name uncultured eukaryote. RNAcentral describes it as "partial 18S ribosomal RNA". It matches the Rfam family "Eukaryotic small subunit ribosomal RNA", at positions 592 to 976 of the family's 1831-position model. The record is from RNAcentral.